RNAcentral lists this transfer RNA (90 nucleotides) under Oscillospiraceae bacterium. RNAcentral describes it as "tRNA-Leu". It matches the Rfam family "tRNA". From Rfam's summary of the family: Transfer RNA (tRNA) molecules are approximately 80 nucleotides in length. Their secondary structure includes four short double-helical elements and three loops (D, anti-codon, and T loops). Further hydrogen bonds mediate the characteristic L-shaped molecular structure. tRNAs have two regions of fundamental functional importance: the anti-codon, which is responsible for specific mRNA codon recognition, and the 3' end, to which the tRNAs corresponding amino acid is attached (by aminoacyl-tRNA synthetases). tRNAs cope with the degeneracy of the genetic code in two manners: having more than one tRNA (with a specific anti-codon) for a particular amino acid; and 'wobble' base-pairing, i.e. permitting non-standard base-pairing at the 3rd anti-codon position. Lineage: Bacteria; Bacillati; Bacillota; Clostridia; Eubacteriales; Oscillospiraceae. The record is from RNAcentral.
GCCGGUGUGGCGGAAUUGGCAGACGCCCGGGACUUAAAAUCCCGUGGGAAUUCAACUCCCGUACCGGUUCGACCCCGGUCACCGGCACCA